CCUACGGGAGGCAGCAGUGGGGAAUAUUGGACAAUGGGCGCAAGCCUGAUCCAGCAAUGCCGCGUGAGUGAUGAAGGCCUUCGGGUCGUAAAGCUCUUUUACCCGGGAUGAUAAUGACAGUACCGGGAGAAUAAGCUCCGGCUAACUCCGUUCCAGCAGCCGCGGUAAUACGGAGGGAGCUAGCGUUGUUCGGAAUUACUGGGCGUAAAGCGCACGUAGGCGGUUAUUCAAGUCAGAGGUGAAAGCCCGGGGUCUCAACCCCGGAACUGCCUUUGAAACUAGAUGACUAGAAUCUUGGAGAGGUCAGUGGAAUUCCGAGUGUAGAGGUGAAAUUCGUAGAUAUUCGGAAGAACACCAGUGGCGAAGGCGACUGACUGGACAAGUAUUGACGCUGAGGUGCGAAAGCGUGGGGAGCAAACAGGAUUAGAUACCCGUGGUAGUCCACGCCGUAAACGAUGAUAACUAGCUGUCCGGGUACUUGGUAUUUGGGUGGCCGNAGCACGCAUAGUUAUCGUCGUGGUAGGUACGGUCGCGAGAGUAAACGUACAANAGAGUAGAGNGUGAGAGNGCGAGACGACGACGAGGGAGAGG
Molecule: ribosomal RNA, 591 nt
Filed under: uncultured bacterium
Lineage: Bacteria
Description: bacterial SSU rRNA
Rfam family: Bacterial small subunit ribosomal RNA (bases 1-516)
Source: RNAcentral